GGAUCGACGGGUCGGUCGCGCCUCCGGUGUGUACUGGCCUGGUCGGUUCCUCCCUUCUGAAGAACCGCGAUGUCAUUAAUUUGGUGUCGUGGGGAAUCAGGACUGUUACUUUGAAAAAAUUAGAGUGUUUAAAGCAGGCAUUCGCUUGAAUACAUUAGCAUGGAAUAAUGAAAUAGGACGUUUGAUCCUAUUUUGUUGGUUUCUAGGAUUGACGUA
Molecule: ribosomal RNA, 216 nt
Filed under: uncultured fungus
Lineage: Eukaryota; Fungi
Description: partial small subunit ribosomal RNA
Rfam family: Eukaryotic small subunit ribosomal RNA (bases 47-216)
Source: RNAcentral